GUGGUCGCCCUCCGUCGUGGCCUGGCGUGGAUUCCGAGCGUUGGUGUCUGGCGGUUUCCGACCGUUGGUGUCUGGCACGCGCCACCCCGAUGUACCAGGUAAAGCCCUAUCACGGGGUCGGCGCCCCUCUCCGUGUGGAGCCCACCUGCAUGUACUGGCUCCCCAACAGGCACGGCAGGAGCGGCGGCCCAGCACUCGGCACUGGCCACUUGCAGACAAGAAGACAAGAAAAUGAUUUGAGGACAGCUUCAAUCGCGGUGUGAAGAAGAAAGCAGCAAAACGACCACUGAAAACAACGCCGGUGGCAAAACAUCCAAAGAAAGGGUCCCAAGCGGUACAUCGUCAUAGCUGGAAACAGUCAGAGCCACCAGCCAAUGAUCUUUUCAAUGCUGCGAAAGCUGCCGAAAGUGACAUGCAGUGUGGCCAUGAGCUCUGCCGGAAGUAACUUGUUGGUGUUAUCUCCUGAGUUAAAAUGUGAAGGGAUUUUUUUUUUUCAGAUGACUGAGAGUCUUCAGUUACUAGAGGCGGAUUUCCCUGACUGAAGACCAUGUUGCAGGCCCACAGCUGCCUACAGGCCCUCUGGGCAACCGUCCCAAAAUAUGGCAAAGAAACCUAUUCUGAGAGAUAGGGUCUCACCAUGUUGCCCAGGCUGGUCUUGAACUCCUGGACUCAUCCUAAAGUGCUGGCCUCUCAUUCCCUGUCUGUGCACACCUCACGGCAAGGGCCAGCCCGUUUCCUCCCGGUCACCUCCAAAUCUUGCUGCUUUUAAUUCAACUCAGAGCCCUAGCCAGGGUUGAGUUCUCACCCACCUGUGCCGCCCUGCCUUGUUA
This 830-nucleotide small RNA is filed under the name Pan troglodytes (chimpanzee). Its description in RNAcentral is "processed transcript". Lineage: Eukaryota; Metazoa; Chordata; Mammalia; Primates; Hominidae. The record is from RNAcentral.